GACGAACCGUGCGAACGUUGUUCGGAAUCACUGGGCUUAAAGGGCGCGUAGGCGGUCUCCCAAGUCCGGGGUGAAAUCUUUCGGCUUAACCGGAAAAGGGCCUUGGAUACUGGGGGACUCGAGGGGGGUAGGGGCAAGCGGAACUUCCAGUGGAGCGGUGAAAUGUGUUGAUAUUGGAAGGAACACCGGAGGCGAAAGCGGUGUACUGGGGCUGGUCUGACGCUGAGGCACGAAAGCCAGGGGAGCGAACGGG
Molecule: ribosomal RNA, 253 nt
Filed under: uncultured bacterium
Lineage: Bacteria
Description: partial 16S ribosomal RNA
Rfam family: Bacterial small subunit ribosomal RNA
Source: RNAcentral